RNAcentral lists this ribosomal RNA (297 nucleotides) under uncultured bacterium. Its description in RNAcentral is "partial 16S ribosomal RNA". It matches the Rfam family "Bacterial small subunit ribosomal RNA", at positions 29 to 353 of the family's 1533-position model. The record is from RNAcentral.
AACGAACGCUGGCGGCAGGCUUAACACAUGCAAGUCGAACGCAUCCUUCGGGAUGAGUGGCAGACGGGUGAGUAACGCGUGGGAACGUGCCCUUUAGUUUGGAAUAACCCAGGGAAACUUGGGCUAAUACCGGAUACGCCCGAAAGGGGAAAGAUUUAUCGCUGAAGGAGCGGCCCGCGUCUGAUUAGCUAGUUGGUGAGGUAAUGGCUCACCAAGGCGACGAUCAGUAGCUGGUCNGAGAGGAUGAUCAGCCACACUGGGACUGAGACACGGCCCAGACUCCUACGGGAGGCAGCA